AAAGCAUUCCUGCAGUCUUUUCUGCCUGAUGAUCAUGAAGUUGAGUUGGAAAGAAGAAUUAGAGAAUGGAAACAAGGGUUUGAUGAAAAUCUUGGAACAUUUGCUUAUCAAUAUCGUGCCUUAUGCCUUCGACUGAAACCUUCCAUGUCAGAAAGGGAGAUACUCCAGGCUACUCUAAGAAACUGUAAUCCUCGGGUUGCCAGCAUACUCUGAGGCACUGUUUCUACGGUUGAUGAGUUGGUACGUGUUGGUACACUGGUGGAAAGGGAUGUUAGUGAAGAAAGAGCCUAUUGGAGACAGACACAAGCAGAGCAUCAGGCAAAGUCAAAUGGAGCUAAUAAAAUGGCAAAAGGCGGACAGUCAAAUCCUCACAUUGCGGUGUUGUCAGGAAGUAUAGAGAAAGAGCUUGACCCAUUGGUCCUGCCGAUAUCCAUCAGAAAUUACAUAUGUCAAGCAGUUUUGGACACUGGUAGCAAAAAACUGAAGUCAAGCAUGGAAACAUGGCUGUCCAGCAGAGGUCAGACCCUCUCACUGGCCAAUGGUCAUGUACAGACAACUCUAGGAAAGAUUGUUUGGAUUUGUACACUUCAUGGUCAUCAAUAUCCAUUUUGUGCCUAUGUGAUGAAGGAUCAAGAUCUAACUUUGCCUGUGAUACUUGGCCUGGAGUUUUUGAUGGAUUCAGGAAUCCAGAUUGAUUUCAAGGACAAUACCUAAAUCCUGACUGAAGAAAAUGAGGUAAAACAUCCAUUCAUGCUUUAUACUAAUUCAAUGGCAAUUAGUCAACAUCUGGCAUUACCUCUGGUUCACGUGCCUUUCCGCACAUUGGGAACCAUAAAAGAUCUGGCAAGUCGAGCUGAGGUUAACAGAACACAGAAAUGUCAGUUGGAAGCACUCAUGCUCAAGCGGCCAACAGUCUGUACAGAGUCCCUAGGACGAACCACUGUGAUUCAAAUUAAUGUGAUUCAGAUUAAAACUUCAGAUGAGAUUCCAGUCCGUAAACGAGCCUAUCCUGUUUCUAUUUUCAAACAGCAAUUCAUUGAUCAGGAAGUUUCAAAAUGUUGGAAAAAGGGAUAUUCAGACCAUCAACUUCUCCAUGGGCGGCUCCCAUAGUUCUUGUCCCUAAGAAGGAUGGUACUACGCGUUUCUGUAUUGAUUACAGGGCUAUAAAUGCCAAGACCCCUUUAGAUGGAUUUCCUAUGCUACAGAUCCAAUAUAUACUUGAAUAAAUGUACGGUGCUUCUAUUUUCAGUACAUUGGAUGUUAGAUCUGGCUAUUGGCAGGUGCUUAUGGAUGAGUAGAGUAUUCAGAAAACUGCUUUCAUAACCAAAAAUGCCCAGUAUGAAUUCCUGUGUCUACCAUUUGGACUGCGAAACUCUGAUGCAACUUUUCAGCGCCUGAUGAAUACAAUAUUGAGAGACUGUCUUGGAAAGUUCUGUUUGUCUAUCUCGAUGAUAUUGUCAUUUAUUCCCAGAAUUUCCAAGAGCAUUUUGAACUCCUUUAACGACUCUUUGACAUGUUAAAGCUGCUGGUUUGACCCUGAAUCUGUCAUAGUGCAACCUGCUCCAAGGAUCCAUCACUUUCCUAGGACAUGUUGUGUCUAAAGAAGGAGUUCGUACAGAAAAUGCCAAGGUGGAGGCGGUUCAAAAUGCUCCUGUUCCAACCACACUCAAAGAGGUACAAUGCUUUUUAGGCCUUGCAGGAUGGUAUCAUAGGUUUAUCCCUCAAUUUUCAGAGAUCGCUGCACAAUUGCAUGCCCUGAAGGGAAGAAAUGUUGUCUGGGAGUGGACAAUGGAAUGUCAACAGGCUUUUGAUAAACUGAAAAAUGCUCUUCCAAAAACACCUGUGUUGGCAUCUCUGGAUUUCACAAAAUGUUUUAAAGUCCAGACAGAUGCCACUGAUGUUGGGUUAGGAGCGGUGUUGACUCAGGACCACGACGGAGCUGAACAUGUUAUUGCUUAUGCUUCGAGACUUCUACAUGGGGCUGAGAAGUCCUAUUCCACGCCUGAAAAAGAAUGUCUUGCAGUGAUUUGGGCAGUCAAGAAAUGGAAACAGUAUCUGGAAGGAAAACAUUUAGAAGUAUUUACAGAUCAUGCUGCUUUUACGUGGGUUUUCAAUCAUCCCCGUCCAACUUCUCAACUGACCAGGUGGGCUUUGAGGUUACAAAGCUUUGACUUCACUGUCCAAUAUUUUAAGGGACAAUGUAAUGUAGUACCCGACACACUUUCUCGGAGUAUACCUUUUCAAGAAGUUAAAGGUCACAUUGCUUUUUGUCAAGCAACCAGCAUUGGGUCGGACUUACCUAUCAGCUGGGAUGAGAUUGGAAGUGCUUAGAAACAAGAUCCCUUACUUCAGCCUUUAUGGGAAAUGGCUAAGUUGACAGUAACAGACCCUAACCGCAUUCAUUAUGUCUUACAAAAUGACUAUUAAUUUUGUUGUGUGCCUAACAAACAUCAGGGUGAAACUAUGCAGAUAAUUGUACCAUUUGUCAUUAAAGGAAAUAUUCUUACAAUUUGCCCAUUCCAAUCCCUUGAGUGGACAUCUUGGACGGAUUAAAACUUUGAGGCGUUUACUUAAUGUGGUCUACUGGCUGGAGAUACGCAGAGAUGUUUGGGGCUUUUGUACCGUGUGUCAAACCUGUCAGAUUUACAAACCAAGAAUCUCAAAGCUGUCUGGUCACCUACAGUCGACACCUGUAGUCGAGCCAGGACACAUGUUUGGUGUCGAUCUCAUGGGUCCCUUCCCAAAGAGUUUGCAGUCUAAUGAAUAUCUGAUGGUGGUAGUAGACUAUUGCAAUAAAUGGGUAGAAUUAUUCCCUCUGAGAUCUGCUAAGACCCAUCUAAUUGUUAAUUUCUUAAUAAAGGAGAUCUUCACUCAAUGGGGUACGCCUACCUACCUUGUCUCAGAUCGUGGACCGCAGUUUACGGCACAACUUUUGAAUGAUGCAUGUAAGCGCUGGGGGGUUAUUCAGAAGCUAACCACAGCCUACCAUUCACAAACAAACCUUAAUGAAAGAACUAAUCGAACCCUCAAGGCUAUGAUAUCUUCUUAUGUUAAGGACAACCACAGGCAUUGGGAUAAAUGGAUAUCUGAUUUCCGAUAUGCCAUAAACACGGCAUGGCAGGAAAGUACAGGUUUAACCCCUGCAGAGAUUGCUUUAGGCCGAAAGUUAAAAGGACCCAUGGACCGAUUGGUACGAACUCCACCGCAACCUGAUCAUGUGGCCUAUGGGACUGUUGAAAGGCAGAGAGAGUUGUUUGAACAAGUAAAAGAGAAGACUAGUUAAGCUCAAGAACGACAAGCAAAGUACUAUAACCAAAGAAUGAAGCUUGAAUCAUUCGAUGAAGGAGACUUGGUCUGGAUACGUUCUCACCCUCUGUCUCGGUCUGCAGACUCGUAUAUGGCUAGGUCUAGCAGAAAUUAUGAAGAAGUUAAACAAUGUAAACUACCAGGUAGUAAUGUUGGAUGAUUCAAAGCGAGUUGAAAAUUUUCAUUCAGUUUUAUGGUGAUGUUUAAACACUUUUUUUCUGAGGAGAGGGGUAUGUAACAGUUAUCCUGUUACUAAUAUAGACCAGUAGUUUUCUCCAGUGUAUUUACCAUUAUUACUCACCUGAGCAUUAGGGGGCGCUCUAUUUUUAGGUGAAUUAGUAGGCCUAUUUAAGGAGACAAAGAAAGAGAAAUGGCAGGAAGUUUGUUUCCUCAUGGUGGUUGUGGCCUUUUUUUUUUUUACCCUUGUUGAGGAACUUUAGAGUUCUAAGCUCAUCUAGGGUUUGUGUUCUAAAUGUAUAUGGAUUACCUGGGGACAAAAACAACUGAGAAGAUUGGAACUAAGAGUGAUUUCCAUUUAGUACUUGAUUGUUGCCUGUUGCAAGACAAACUUUCCCUUCAAGCAUGGCAAAGCUCUCUGAUAAUUGAACUCUGCUGUGGAUCAUCUUGCCACUUAAGUACUGUUUUCUCUAUUCAUAUUCAACAAAGACUGAGAAAAGCUUAGGAUCCUAAUAGAGAAGAAACCAAGGACUGUGCUUUAUGUGAUGGACCAUAUUUCUUAUCCACUGUUUCUACCUGUUUGAUGUUGAAUUGUGUUAUGUUGAAUAAUGAAUGUUUGGUGUGACUAUGUUUAAUACAUUUGACUCAUGAGUGAGA
This is a long non-coding RNA of Carassius gibelio (silver crucian carp), 4140 nucleotides long. RefSeq lists it as uncharacterized. NCBI's taxonomy places the organism in Eukaryota, Metazoa, Chordata, Actinopteri, Cypriniformes, Cyprinidae. The transcript is spliced from 2 exons. The record is from RefSeq and is a predicted model, not a curated record.